RNAcentral lists this transfer RNA (74 nucleotides) under Tissierellia bacterium. RNAcentral's name for it is "tRNA-Arg". It matches the Rfam family "tRNA". From Rfam's summary of the family: Transfer RNA (tRNA) molecules are approximately 80 nucleotides in length. Their secondary structure includes four short double-helical elements and three loops (D, anti-codon, and T loops). Lineage: Bacteria; Bacillati; Bacillota; Tissierellia. The record is from RNAcentral.
GCACCUGUAGCUCAAUUGGAUAGAGCACCUGACUUCGGAUCAGGGCGCUGGGGGUUCGAGUCCUCUCAGGUGCA